RNAcentral lists this long non-coding RNA (1236 nucleotides) under Homo sapiens (human). Its description in RNAcentral is "HSALNT0342508". The record is from RNAcentral. Lineage: Eukaryota; Metazoa; Chordata; Mammalia; Primates; Hominidae.
CAGAACUGCUGGGAUAGUAUCCUUAUACUCUACCUUCUUGAGCUCCCACAGGUGGAAACUUUAGAAAAUGUUUUGCUACUGCAUAGCAUGAAUCCAUAGCAUUUCAGUCUCCAAUAUCUGUGUCUUCACUGCCUUCCAAUGAAGAAAAUGCCAUGAAAAUGCCUCAGAUGUUUGUCAUGCAGUAUCCAAAAGGGACCAUCUUGAGGUCAGGAUAAAUUUUGCUAUGCUACGGAAAUCUUAAUGGAUUGACCAAGAAAGUUUAUGUCGUACAUAAAGUUUGGUGCAGUUUGAGUACCUCUUCUCCAUAGCUGCACCAUUUGGGACACAUGGCCUCAAAAGUUGCUGUGUCAGGUAAAAUGACAAGAGAAGGAUGGAAGAAGUACAUUGACUUUUAAUCACCUUAGUUUAGAAGUGGCCACGUUACUUCUGCUCACAGCCCAUUGGCCAGAACUACUCACAUGGCCCCAACCUAAAUGCAAGGAUGCUAGGAAUGCAGGGGAAAAAAUGGACAUUUGAACAGUCUCACCGUUACCCUGUGUCUGUCAUUCCAAUAUAUGGCCAAAAAGGAACAAGAUUGCAUUUUCUCUUGUUGGUAUUUUUGAAAUAGAGGUAGCAAAUACAUUUCAGAUGGCAGCAUUGUCUAGUAAUGCACAGGUGGGAGUCAGGCUACCAGAGACUCCUCACUGGCUCUUGCCCUUCCCUUCCCCCACAGGUGCCCGGGAGGCUCUGACAGAACCAACACAGGAGGAUAUUCGAGCUCAGACAGCACCUCCAUGUUUAUGAAUCACUAUUAAUCACUUUCAGACCUGGAAAGCACCACAACCAAAGGUGACAUUAGGCUGGCACACUCCAUUGUGGUGCACUGUUGUUUAUAGCCAUAUAUCCAUUCUAAUGAAUCAGUGCCCAGGCCUAAUGAUGAUCAAUUGUGUUGACUAUCACCUCUGCUUAUAAUUUAAAUAUAGUCAUGUGCCACAUAGUGAUGUUUUGGUCAACAACAGACCACAUAUACAACGGUGGUCCCAUAAGAUUAUAAUGAAGCUAAAGAAUCUCUGUCACCUAAUGACGCUGUAGUCCUUGUAACGUUGCAGUGCAGCGUGUUACUCACGUGUCUGUGGAGAUGCUGGGGGAAACAAACCUACUGUGCUUUCAGUCAUAUAAAAGUCUAGCACAUGCAAUUAUGUACAGUACAUACUUGAUAAGAAAUGACUGUUACUGGUUUGUGUAUUUACUGUAUUA